UCAUGGCUCAGAUUGAACGCUGGCGGCAGGUUAACACAUGCAAGUCCGAGCCGGAGGGUGGCUUGCACCUUAGCUUAGCGGCGGACGGGUGAGUAAUGCUUAGGAAUCUGCCUAUUAGUGGGGGACAACAUUCCGAAAGAAUGCUAAUACCGCAUACGCCCUAAGGGGAAAGCAGGGGAUCUUCGGACCUUGCGCUAAUAGAUGAGCCUAAGUCGGAUUAGCUAGUUGGUGGGGUAAAGGCCUACCAAGGCGACGAUCUGUAGCGGGUCUGAGAGGAUGAUCCGCCACACUGGGACUGAGACACGGCCCAGACUCCUACGGGAGGCAGCAGUGGGGAAUAUUGGACAAUGGGCGGAAGGAUCCAGCCAUGCCGCGUGUGUGAAGAAGGCCUUUUGGUUGUAAAGCACUUUAAGCGAGGAGGAGGCUACUAGUAUUAAUACUACUGGAUAGUGGACGUUACUCGCAGAAUAAGCACCGCUAACUCUGUGCCAGCAGCCGCGGUAAUACAGAGGGGUGCGAGCGUUAAUCGGAUUUACUGGGCGUAAAAGGGUGCGUAAGGGGCUUUUUUAAGUCGGGAUGUGAAAUCCCCCGAGCUUAACUUUGGGAUUGCAUUCGAUACUGGGGAAGCGAGAGAAUGGGAGAGGAUGGUAGAAUUCCAGGUGUAGCGGUGAAAUGCGUAAGAUCUGGAGGAAUACCAUGGCAAGGAGCCAUCUGGCCUAAUACUGACGCUAGGACAAAGAUGGGGAGCAAACAGGAUUAGAUACCCUGGUAGUCCAUGCCGUAAACGAUGUCUACUAGCCGUUGGGGCCUUUGAGGCUUUAGUGGCGCAGCUAACGCGAUAAGUAACCGCCUAGGGAGUACGGUCGCAGACUAAAACUCAAUGAUUGACGGGGGCCCGCACAGCGGUGGAGAUGUGGUUUAAUUCAUGCACGCGAAACCUUACCUGGUCUUGACAUCAGACAACUUUCCAGAGAUGGAUCGGUGCCUUCGGGAACCCUGAUACACGUGCUGCAUGGCUGUCGUCAGCUCGGGUCGUGAGAUGUUGGGUUAAGUCCCGCAACGAGCGCAACCCUUUUCCUUAUUUGCCAGCACUUCGGGUGGGAACUUUAAGGAUACUGCCAGUGACAAACUGGAGGAAGGCGGGGACGACGUCAAGUCAUCAUGGCCCUUACGACCAGGGCUACACACGUGCUACAAUGGUCGGUACAAAGGGUUGCUACCUCGCGAGAGGAUGCUAAUCUCAAAAGACCGAUCGUAGUCCCGGAUUGGAGUCUGCAACUCGACUCCAUGAAGUCGGAAUGCGCUAGUAAUGCGCGGAUCAGAAUGCCGCGGUGAAUACGUUCCCGGGCCUUGUACACACCGCCCGUCACACCAUGGGAGUUUGUUGCACCAGAAGUAGCUAGCCUAACUGCAAAGAGGGCGGUUACCACGGUGUGGCCGAUGACUGGGGUG
RNAcentral lists this ribosomal RNA (1452 nucleotides) under Acinetobacter junii. Its description in RNAcentral is "bacterial SSU rRNA". It matches the Rfam family "Bacterial small subunit ribosomal RNA". Lineage: Bacteria; Pseudomonadati; Pseudomonadota; Gammaproteobacteria; Moraxellales; Moraxellaceae. The record is from RNAcentral.